GGCAGGUAAGUCUUCCAACCUAAUCUCCUUGUCUCUGCGUGCUUCGUCCCUCAAUGGCAGACCUGCUCUGCUUAUGGACGAGGUUACCAUUGAUGCCCUAACCGCUCAUUUUUGGUUCACUCUGAUUGGUAAGUUCUUUUUUUCAGAGACCUUCCCUUGUUGAUAUUUGUAAAUUUUUCUUGGCCGUAAAGAUAGUUGAUAGCUUCUCUGUUGGCUGAUGAUCCUAAAAGCCCUCAUCCUGUAGCUUAAAUUAUUCAAUAGUCAAAUAAUGUGGCUGGUACUGCUUUGGUUGUGGAAAAUUUUGGGAAGACUGAAAAGCAAAGUGCCCUUAUGCCCUCAACUUGUGGAUCAGAUCCAUGUUGAGAUUUUAGGGGAUCAUCAACAGCUUCAUUUAAGGCGAACUCUGUGGGAUAUCUCUGUUAAUCUUAAUGGUCCCUAGUGCAUUGUGGGUGAUUUCAACUGCAUUUCAUCCCCUUCUGAAAGACGUGCUCGUAAUGUUGCUUCUAUUCGUUUGAUGGAGGACUUUAAUGAUGUUAUCCUUGAUUGUAACCUUGCUGACAUUGGUUUUACUGAUUUGUCCUGUACUUGGUCAAAUAAAAGGUUAUGGGAAAGGGUUGACCGAUUCCUUUUUAACAACCAUUGGGUUAAUAACAUUUUGGCCACUCACAUUGAACAUCUCAAUAGGUCUCAAUAUGAUCACUCGCCGUUGUU
This is a long non-coding RNA of Phalaenopsis equestris, 711 nucleotides long. RefSeq lists it as uncharacterized. The record is from RefSeq and is a predicted model, not a curated record. NCBI's taxonomy places the organism in Eukaryota, Viridiplantae, Streptophyta, Magnoliopsida, Asparagales, Orchidaceae. The transcript has 3 exons.